RNAcentral lists this ribosomal RNA (485 nucleotides) under uncultured Slackia sp. Its description in RNAcentral is "bacterial SSU rRNA". It matches the Rfam family "Bacterial small subunit ribosomal RNA", at positions 8 to 507 of the family's 1533-position model. Lineage: Bacteria; Bacillati; Actinomycetota; Coriobacteriia; Eggerthellales; Eggerthellaceae. The record is from RNAcentral.
AGAGUUUUGAUCCUGGCUCAGGAUGAACGCUGGCGGCGCGCCUAACACAUGCAAGUCGAACGGUUAAGGCCCCCUUUAGGGGGCGCAUAGAGUGGCGAACGGGUGAGUAACACGUGACCAACCCGCCCCCCCACCGGGACAACCGUCGGGAAACCGAGGCUAAUACCGGAUACGCCGGGGCCCCGCAUGGGGGCCCCGGGAAAGCCUUGGCGGGAGGGGACGGGGUCGCGGCCCAUCAGGUAGACGGCGGGGCGAAGGCCCGCCGUGCCGACGACGGGUAGCCGGGCUGAGAGGCCGAUCGGCCACAUUGGGACUGAGACACGGCCCAGACUCCUACGGGAGGCAGCAGUGGGGAAUAUUGCGCAAUGGGGGAAACCCUGACGCAGCGACGCCGCGUGCGGGAAGGAGGCCUUCGGGUCGUAAACCGCUUUCAGCAGGGAAGAAGCCUGACGGUACCUGCAGAAGAAGCCCCGGCUAACUACGUG